This 1120-nucleotide long non-coding RNA is filed under the name Fragaria vesca (wild strawberry). RNAcentral describes it as "long non-coding RNA (FVES_LNC004553)". Lineage: Eukaryota; Viridiplantae; Streptophyta; Magnoliopsida; Rosales; Rosaceae. The record is from RNAcentral.
AUCCACCGAAAAUCUCAUUUCCGGGAACUCUCCAAAGGAGGAAAAUUGCCAAAUAUCCGAGAAAUCAGAAAGUCUCAUCAGAAGAAAAUAAAUAAUCAACAAAUUAUUUCAUCGCAUGCUUUUCAAUUAAAACAAAGGUCCACUCACAACUCUAGGCAUAAGCCCGACGAAAUCCAAAUCGCCACUCCAAUGAGGUUUCCUCAAACCCUGUCACAAAUAUAUAAUUAAAUUCCAAACUAAAAUCCAAUAUUUAAACAAAAUAGGCAAAAUUAAAUAUGAGCCGCAACCACGUACGCUCAUCCUUGCCCAACUUCGCCUUUCCUAAAACGAAACGAUCCAACUUUAAUACCAUAAAUGGCAGCCGUAAUUACAACCUCCCCAGAACAACGACUUAAAUCCUACGGCCGGAUUCUACAUUAAUUAACCGCCAAAAAUACCAAACUUCGGAAAAUCACAAACCUAUUCAAAACUCAUCCGAAAAUUUCAUAAUUUACAUCAAUACACUCCUCUUAAUAUUCCACAUUUAAAAACAUUAAAAUCUCCCAACAGGCGGCGCCGGCAGCGGCGGCCGGAGGCCGAUUCCGGCGACCUCCAAUGCCCACCAAAUUUUAACAGCAUCUUCCUCUCAACUCCCUCUACAACAUUCCUAACUAGCACAAACACCAAUUCCAAGCCUAACUAGGUCAAUCGAGCAAAACAACGCAAAAAGCCCUAAAGCUUCCACCUCAAAUUUCUCCUUACCUAAAGCGAACCGGAGUGAGUCCUUUUAGGGCAAGGUAGCUGGGUUGGAGACCUACAAAACCGUACCAAUCUUGCCCGGAUUGGUGGCCGGAGGAGGGAGUUCCGGCGAGUGAAGCAACACGGCAGUCGCACCUUUCGGGGGAGAGCGCUCCUUCACGGCGGCGCUAGGGCGGCUAUCACCGGCCUAGAAUGGAAGCUGGGUCGGAGGGCAACUGAACGGGACCGGUGCGGCAGUCCCAGGCGGCCGGACGACGGCGGACGAGCGGCCGGAAUGUUGGGCAGCGGGUGGACUCAGGGGAGAGGAAAACCGGGAAGAAAAAGAGAGAAGAGAAGAGUGGGUUUUGGGCCUCCACCCAAACCGGUCCAAGACUAUAAUAUA